This 64-nucleotide transfer RNA is filed under the name Cavia porcellus (domestic guinea pig). It matches the Rfam family "tRNA". From Rfam's summary of the family: Transfer RNA (tRNA) molecules are approximately 80 nucleotides in length. The record is from Rfam by way of RNAcentral. Lineage: Eukaryota; Metazoa; Chordata; Mammalia; Rodentia; Caviidae.
GGGGAUUUAGUUCAGUGGCCAAAACGCCUGCCUGGCAAGCAUGAGGUUGUAAGUUCGAUCCCCG